Nannospalax galili (Upper Galilee mountains blind mole rat) is the source of this 131-nucleotide small nucleolar RNA. Its record names the gene SNORA70. It matches the Rfam family "Small nucleolar RNA SNORA70". From Rfam's summary of the family: snoRNA U70 seems to be exclusive to mammals and is a member of the H/ACA class of snoRNA which contain H (ANANNA) and ACA box motifs. H/ACA box snoRNAs are involved in the conversion of uridines to pseudouridines (5-ribosyluracil) a constituent of structural RNAs (transfer, ribosomal, small nuclear, and small nucleolar). Lineage: Eukaryota; Metazoa; Chordata; Mammalia; Rodentia; Spalacidae. The record is from Ensembl.
CUGUAGCCACUUAAGCUGACCAGGUCCUUUCCUCACAGGGCCUUGCACACAGUGCCUGCAAACAGCAGCCUCUUGGUAGUGUAUGCAGCCUGAUGCUGGUGUAGGUUGCAUAAGGGACCCUCUAGACAGAG